This 821-nucleotide ribosomal RNA is filed under the name uncultured Actinomycetes bacterium. RNAcentral's name for it is "bacterial SSU rRNA". It matches the Rfam family "Bacterial small subunit ribosomal RNA", at positions 61 to 858 of the family's 1533-position model. The record is from RNAcentral. Lineage: Bacteria; Bacillati; Actinomycetota; Actinomycetes.
GUCGAACGCGAAAGUCCCCUUCGGGGGGUGAGUAGAGUGGCGUCCGGGUGAGUAACACGUAGGUAAUCUACCUUUGGGUGGGGAACAACGCAGGGAAACUUGCGCUAAUACCGCAUAAUGCAGCGGCACCACAUGGUGACAGUUGUUAAAGCGGGGGAUUUUCGAACCUCGUGCCUAAAGAGGAGCCUGCGGCAGAUUAGCUAGUUGGUAAGGUAACGGCUUACCAAGGCGACGAUCUGUAGCCGGCCUGAGAGGGCGGUCGGCCACACUGACACUGACAUACGGGUCAGACUCCUACGGGAGGCAGCAGUCGGGAAUUUUGGGCAAUGGGCGAAAGCCUGACCCAGCAACGCCGCGUGAAGGAUGAAAUCCUUCGGGAUGUAAACUUCGCAAGAAUGGGAAGAAUUAGUAGGGGUUAAUACCCCCUAUGAUGACGGUACCAUUUGUAAGCUCCGGCUAACUCCGUGCCAGCAGCCGCGGUAAUACGGGGGGAGCAAGCGUUGUUCGGAUUUACUGGGCGUAAAGGGCGCGUAGGCGGUCAGCACAAGUCAGUUGUGAAAUCUCCGGGCUUAACUCGGAAAGGUCAACUGAUACUGUGCGACUAGAGUGCAGAAGGGGCAACUGGAAUUCUCGGUGUAGCGGUGAAAUGCGUAGAUAUCGAGAGGAACACCUGCGGCGAAGGCGGGUUGCUGGGCUGACACUGACGCUGAUGCGCGAAAGCCAGGGGAGCGAACGGGAUUAGAUACCCCGGUAGUCCUGGCCUUAAACGAUGGAUGCUUGGUGUCUGGAGUUUUAUAGUCUCCGGGUGCCGUAGCUAACGC